This 595-nucleotide unclassified non-coding RNA is filed under the name Hevea brasiliensis (rubber tree). The record is from RNAcentral. Lineage: Eukaryota; Viridiplantae; Streptophyta; Magnoliopsida; Malpighiales; Euphorbiaceae.
CAGCACUAAAGGUCCGCCAUUCGGAGGCUCACUUUGCUUAAAAUCUCCACAAGAAGAGAAGAUGAAGGUUAUCGCCGCUUACUUGUUGGCCGUCUUGGGUGGCAACACCUCCCCUUCAGAGAAGGAUUUGAAGAAAAUCCUUGCAUCUGUUGGAGCUGAGGCUGAUGAUGAUAGGAUUCAACUACUACUCUCUCAAGUUGAGGGCAAAGAUAUCACUGAGUUGAUUGCUGCCGGCAGAGAAAAAUUGGCUUCAGUACCUGCUGGUGGAGGUGCUGCUUGUGCAGUUGCUGCACCUGGUGGUGGCGGUGCUGCACCUGCUGCUGAGGAGAAGAAGGAAGAAAAGAAAGUGGAAGAAAAAGAAGAGUCAGACGAUGACAUGGGUUUCAGUCUUUUCGAUUAGAAGUCGAAGAAAUCAGUUUAUGAAGUAUCCCCUUUUCCAUUUGUUGUUCCCCUUGAGAGUGUAUUUUAGGAGGUUUAUUGUCUACUUACAGAUUUUGCUUGAACUUAGAAUUUUCAUGGAAAACAUUUGCAAACAGUUGAAAUUAUAAUAUGUAUUUCAAAUGUUCAGCUUGGUUCAAUAUAUCUACCCUUUUUG